RNA transcript from Brienomyrus brachyistius, 6950 nucleotides. It is a transcript of the gene named cytochrome b5-like, with no coding region annotated. The transcript is spliced from 12 exons. The record is from RefSeq and is a predicted model, not a curated record. Lineage: Eukaryota; Metazoa; Chordata; Actinopteri; Osteoglossiformes; Mormyridae.
AAUAUAGAAGUUCUACGUCAAGUAUACUUGACCAUACUUGUGUUCUCGUCUACCCGUUUUGCAUCAUCUUCUAUUGCCAAAGACCAGUUCCAAUACUAAGAACACAAGUACAGAGGAUGGUAAAAAUCCCCGGAUGUUGGUCUUGCCCAGCUCUCAGAUAUCAAGGACACAUCAGUUGCAUCAUCGCCGAAUGAAACCAAUCCCAUGUUUCAAGUACGGUCUUUGCAUUCUUGGUAUUGAGAUUCACCCAGCUCACUUACUCCUGCUGUCGUAUCAGACAAUGAAUUAUGAGGGACUCCACAUAUCACUACAAAUCCCUGGUCCACCAGAGUUUGGUCUGUAGAUGGCAAUCUACUCAUGCAGCAUACAGGAAUUCCCCGAUACCUCCAUGUAUAUCAAGGAACGAGGUUCUGAAUUCAGUUUCAAUCCAGCUUAUUUUGUGUAGCACAUUUUCAUAACGGUACAUUGCCUCAAAGCCCAUUACAUUGUGCCCACCCAGUGCCCCCAGUAAGCAAGCCAGAGGUGACAGUGGCAAGGAAAAACCCCUUAGAAGGAAGAAACCUCUUGAGGAACCAGACUCAAAGGGGGGCCUCCAUCCUCCAGGGGGCGGCAGAGGAAUUCAAAUAAACAAACUGACGAAACCCUAAUUUAUACAGUUCAAAUUUUAAGCUUUGAAUCUAAAUGUGGAGGACAGGCAGGUGAUGGUGCUGCUUCUGGUGGCAGGAUGAUGUAUUUGACUUCACACUGGAUGCUCCAUUUCUGCGCCAUUGGAAUGGAAUUGGAACUGGAAUUUCCCAUAAUGCACUGACUUUAAUUGAGGUCGAGUUGUGAAUUGGACAGUUCCCAAUGGGAUGUCAGAAAAUUGACGUUACUGAUUAACAGCGAUUGCCAAUAAAUGUCACUGGCGAUAAAGGUAAAGCUGAUAUCUUUGGUACUUUGUACAGGCCUUGUUUUCAAAUUUCUUUUUAAACAAACUGAGUGUCUACUAAACAAAUAUGUGGGAGUUAUUUAUUCAAACUCCACAGUCCACUUUCACCUUAUUCUACACACCCUCUUUGUACUGCAGCCCAGAAAGGGUUCAACAGACUGUUGUAAUACAGGCUUCUUUAGCAGUAACCGCUUACAUGUAUUUAACUUGUACUUGUCUAGCGGACACAUUUAUGUGAAGCGAUGUACAAUUGGAGAGGUAGGGUGAGAGACUGCAUUGGGUAAUUGCCUUGCUGAGGGGCCCAACAGUGACAUCACUCUGCUGACCUGCCAAUCACAGGCAUCUUAAUCCAUUGAGCUACACGUCAUCCCCAGUAAAACCAUAACAUUUCUGAAGGUUGAGCGUGAUAUUUCAAGUAAUGCACAGUCCAUUCCACUGCUGUGUACAAAAUGUAUAUAUGCCCAUGUGCUGACCCCAGGCCUGUUUUUCAGUGUCGUUCAAAGGUCUGUUUGUUUAGUGUGAAGGAGACACCCCUGGACAGGCUGAAUAAGGGGACCACAGACCAGUGUCCUCAGUCCUGUUUCUCCCCCCAGCGCUGAGAGGAAGAUGACCCGCCUGCUGGUUCUGGUGCUGGCUUGUGGAGCUCUGCUUAUCUCCACAGAGGCCCAGGAAGAUUACCACACGCUGUCCAAUUUAGUCAAGAGUGGUGUGAGACUGGCAAUUUCAGCUGCUAAUGAAGACAGCAAUUACCAUAUGAAUUUUAUUUCUGUUCCAUUAAAUAAAGAAGUUACAUCAAACUUCAUUACCCUGAGGAUUUACUUAAAACCUACAACCUGUGCAAAAUCCAGUGUGGUAGAUCAUCGGGAUGAAUGUCCAUUUGAGAACAGCAAGCCGCACAUUAACUGCGUGGUUUGCAGCAAGUUCACUGGCGAUACCUUCAAUAAUCCAUUUGUUGACUGCAAGCCAAUCGAGCUGGUUGAUCAGAAUUACAGAAAGAAGUACUGUCAGGUUUAUCGUCCUGGAGGGAAUGGUAUAAAUACGCUGAAGUUUCAUUAGCCGGGAGUGAACUUGACAGGAUGAGCUGCACAGCAAGUCAAUCCGAAGAUGAGCUGGUCGUGUAUUAAGCAGAGUCUGAACAGAAGAAUCUUGUGGCUUAAUCUGUUCUUAUGUUAAUAUCUCAGUAAUUAGUCCCCCACCCUGACCCUCACACACCAUACUUACCUUCCAGGGCACUAUGCCCCUAAUUCCUUGAUAGCCGUGUGCACCAUGACACCAUACCAUCAGUGAUCUUCAUUCGCUGCAUCAGACAUUCAUCACAGUGUCAUGUGAUCCUCAGUAAGCGAAUCGUAUGCGGGCUUAAGAAACUUCACACAUUCACAGCCAGUGACACAUACACUGCCUUCUCAACUCCAGCACAGUGUCAUAAAUCAGAAGUUAACAGGUGUGAGUGAUUCAGGACACACUGGGAAUCCAAAUACUGAUACAAUAUUCAUUACAAACAGGAGGGUCAUUAGUUAGUAAACAGUGCAACAAGUAAUAUAAGGUGGUGCAAACUGUAUUCAAACAAAGCAAACCCAAAGUGCACUGUCCUUUCCUCCCCUGUAAUCUGAGUUCACCAUUACUGCAAUAAAUCGUGCUUCAUUACAGCUCCACAAGUGUGUGGCUUCACUUUUCUCUUAUACUCUUUCUCAAGCUGCACAUCAAAAGCUUUUCAUUCAUAAGUUACUAAUUUUAAAUGCUGUAUUUAAGAGAUUACUAUAAAAAGUUCUGUGUUUAUAACAAAUAAUAAUAAUACCCUCUGGAUAAUACCCUCUGGAUGGGAUGCCAGUCCUUCACAGGGCACAAGGCAGCGGUAUCCUCUGGAUGGGAUGCCAGUCCAUCACAGAGCAUAAGGCAGGGGUACCCUCUGGAUGGGAUGCUAGUCCAUCACAGGGCACAAGGCAGGGGUACCCUCUGGAUGGGGCGCCAGUCCAUCACAGGGCAUAAGGCAGGGGUACCCUCUGGAUGGGAUGCCAGUCUAUCACAGGGCAAAAGACAGGGGUACCCUCUGGAUGGGGUGCCAGUCCAUCACAGGGCAAAAGGCAGGGGUACCCUCUGGAUGGGAUGCCAGUCCAUCACAGGGCAUAAGGCAGGGGUACCCUCUGGAUGGGAUGCCAGUCCAUCACAGGGCAUGAGGCAGGGGUACCCUCUGGAUGGGAUGCCAGUCCAUCACAGGGCAUAAGGCAGGGGUACCCUCUGGAUGGGAUGCCAGUCCAUCACAGAGCAUAAGGCAGGGGUACCAUCUGGAUGGGGUGCCAGUCCAUCACAGGGCACAAGGCAGGGGUACCCUCUGGAUGGGAUGCCAGUCCUUCACAGGGCACAAGGCAGGGGUACCCUCUGGAUGGGAUACCAGCCCAUCACAGGGCACAAGGCAGCGGUACCCUCUGGAUGGGAUGCCAGUCCAUCACAGGGCACAAGGCAGGGGUACCCUCUGGAUGGGAUGCCAGUCCUUCACAGGGCAUAAGGCAGAGGGUACCCUCUGGAUGGGAUGCCAGUCCUUCACAGGGCACAAGGCAGGGGUACCCUCUGGAUGGGAUGCCAGUCCUUCACAGGGCACAAGGCAGGGGUACCCUCUGGAUGGGAUGCCAGUCCAUCACAGGGCACAAGGCAGUGGUACCCUCUGGAUGGGAUGCCAGUCCAUCACAGGGCACAAGGCAGCGGUACCCUCUGGAUGGGAUGCCAGUCCAUCACAGGACAUAAGGCAGGGGUACCCUCUAGAUGGGAUACCAGCCCAUCACAGGGCACAAGGCAGCGGUACCCUCUGGAUGGGGUGCCAGUCCAUCACAGGGCAUAAGGCAGGGGUACCCUCUGGAUGGGGUGCCAGUCCAUCACAGGGCAUAAGGCAGGGGUACCCUCUGGAUGGGGUGCCAGUCCAUCACAGGGCAUAAGGCAGGGGUACCCUCUGGAUGGGGCGCCAGUCCAACACAGGGCACAAGGCAGGGGUACCCUCUUGAUGGGAUGCCAGUCUAUCACAGGGCACAAGGCAGGGGUACCCUCUUCAUGGGAUGCCAGUCCAUCACAGGGCAAAAGGCAGCGGUACCCUCUGGAUGGGGCGCCAGUCCAUCACAGGGCACAAGGCAGGGGUACCCUCUGGAUGGGAUGCCAGUCCAUCACAGGACACAAGGCAGGGGUACCCUCUGGAUGGGAUGCCAGUCCAUCAGAGUGCAAAUGGCAGGUGCACCCCUUGGAUGGGAGACCAUAAUUUCAUAUUUUUUCUUAUACAGUAGACUACACGUUUUUUCAUAAUGUUUGAUGAUCACAUUCUUAACUAUUAAAAUUGUGAUGUUUUGAACUUCUCCUUAACACACUAGUCAACAAUGUAAUACUUUAGAAUUAGAAUUUAGAGAUCAGUGGUCAUUGCUGACACACCACAGCACACAGUGCACAACAAUGAAAUGUGUCCUCUGCAUUUAACCCAUAUGUGACAUAGCAGGGGGCAGCUAAUUCAGUGCCUGGGGGCGGUACCUUGCUCAGGAUAUUUCAGUGGUGCUGUGCUGGUUGGGGAUUCGAACCUGCAAUUUUUCAAUAACAACUGCACUUCCCUGAGCAUCGAUCCACCAAUGCCCACAGAUAGGGAUCAUACCCCUCCACCAAUAAGGGGCUCAUUAAUAUAUUUGGGAACGAGAAUUAUGACUUUGUAGUUCAGUUAAAAAUAUUUAAUAUAGGAUAAUUUUUUUGCAUAGUACCGUUCUCAGUUCAUUGCAUAAAAUACUAUGCCACCCUAAUUCCCACUUCUACGCCAGCCCUCCACGGCACAAUGCUGUAUUCUUAAUUACAGUAGAUUACACAUUUUUCGAUAAUGUUUUAGGAUCACAUUCUUAACUAUUAAAAUCAUAAUGCUUUGAACUUCCCAUUAACGCACUAGUCAGCUGUUUAUUUCAUUGCCAGUUUGAUGUUUACGCAUUUCUACAGCCAACGUAAUACUUUAUCGUAUUUGGAGAAGAAAAUAAUGAAUUUGUCAUUCAGUUAAAAGCACUAAAUAUCGUUGUAAUUCUCUUGCAUAGUACCGUUCUCAGUUCAUUGCAUAAAAUGCUAUACCAAUCUAAUUUACAUUUGUACUUAAUUCAACGCGGGUAUUUAUAAUGCCAGAUUAACUGACACAGUAAUUGUCGUAUUUAUCAUGAUCUAGGUUAAUACUGCUGUUAGUUUCGGUUCAUGUUACCAUUAGUUUAACUUGCAUAAAUUUAAAUUUGACCUGUUUCUAGUCGUACAAUAUAAUGGGUGGGUAUCUGUAAAAAAAAAAAAAAAAAUCAAUUGGACAACAUCAUUAGAGGGCUGCAGGGAAACGGGAAAACCUUAAUACCGGUAACAGCAGUGAAAUUGCUCGUAUAUGCAUAUAAUUAUAUCUGCUAUUUUAAUUUAAAGUCAUUUUGUUCUCUUAAAUUAUUUGUUCUCACCCAACACCGCCUGGUGGCAGUGUAGCCUAGACUAUACUAGGCUACUGAAGAACAGUUUGUUUGAAUACGCGAGAAAAGCACUUCUCUCAAAGGAAAUGGAAAAGGAGUAAGUUUUUCACUCUGAGAGGAAGAUGACCCGCCUGCUGGUUCUGGUGUUGGCUUGUGGAGCUCUGCUUAUCUCCACAGAGGCCCAGGAUGAUUACCACAGUCUCCCUGCACUCUACAAGACGGCCAUUAAACUCGCAGUCGAAAAAGCUCAUCAAGGAACCAGUCAGCACAUGAAUUUCUAUAACAUCCAGGGCCGUCCAAAGAUCAGCAAUGACUAUAUUGACAUUGAGAUUCUCUUGAGAGCAACAAACUGUGCAAAGUCAGCUGAACCAGACCAUCGGGAUGACUGCGUGUUUAUGACCAACAGACCAUUCAUUAACUGUAGAGUUUGCAGCAGACGGUCUGGUAAUGAUCUUACGGAUCCAUUCAUUGACUGUACACCACAAAAGAGAGUGGAUGAAGACAAACGAAGUAAUAUGUGUCCUUCUGAUAAACGUCUUAUCGGAUCUGACACUGCCAUGACUGUCUGGGCUGUUUCUGAUGGCUGAUGGUCCUGCAACGUGGACCAGAGGAGGAAACUGGGAGGGAAAAUGCUUUGCUUUGUUAUAUAGCUGAAAUCAGGAUGUAAUACAGCAUUUAAAUUUUUCUUAUCCAGUUGCAGUUAACCAGAUGAUCUACUUAACACCAUUUACAUUGACAUUUCAUUUGCACUCUUACCAACAGACCGAUUGUUGAAAUGUUGCAGUGUGCUGUCAGCAAAAAUGUACUGAUUAAGGUCCCUCUGGCAGAUAGCUGAGGAAAUAUUAUUUGCAUCCAAUUCCUUUUUAACACUUUGUUGACUAAUUUUACCCAGAUGUACUCAAGAUAUAAAUGGAUAAGUUUCUAUUUUCAUUCUCUUUGUUUCUACUGGGGGUAACAGCUGUACAAAAUCAACAAUGUGAUUCAUUGUUCAGUCAUAACAAUAACAACAGUCUAUUAAAACAAUUUGUAAUGUUUCAUUUGCCAUCACAUUCAACAAUAAAUUUCAAUGUCAACCUGGAAUUGAAAAAGAAACAUCUCAAGGUGAAAUCACAUAAUGUUCCAGCUGAGGUUGGCCGUUCUUCAUGCGUUAUAACAUAAAUGUUAACAGUCAGUGUUGCAAAAGUCAACAAGAUAUUGAAUCCAUAGAGGGGGGUCACCCUAAAAGUUGCCAACGCUCUGUUGACUCAGUAACUUAAAAAUUACAAACUAACUUUAGUAUUAACCCCAGCAGAAAAGCUGUGUGCCGAGAGCAUCAUGGAAUGGGGUCACAUGGCUGAAGAGCUGUAUGCAAGCCAAACAUCACCCAGAGCAAUGCCAAACGUUGCAUGGAGUGGUAAAAAGCACACCGUCACUGGACUCUGGAGCACAGGAAAUAUGGAGUGAUGAAUCACGCUUCUCUGCCUGGCAGUCUGACGGACCAAUCUGGGUUUGGCAGAUGCCAGGAGAACGUUACCUGCCUGACUGCAUUGUGCCGACUGUGAAGUUUGGAAGAGGAGGGAUAAUGCCAUUCAUUAACU